Molecule: long non-coding RNA, 726 nt
Organism: Cavia porcellus (domestic guinea pig)
Lineage: Eukaryota; Metazoa; Chordata; Mammalia; Rodentia; Caviidae
Exons: 2
Source: RefSeq, a predicted model, not a curated record
UAACUUGAAUGUUGCACUGUGGUGGCACUAACCUAUGAAAGGUUGUGCAGUGUGUACAGACCAUAUGGAAACCACUUUCCGCUCAAUUUUGCUGUGAAUCUCAACCUUCUCUAAAAAAUAAUGUCUAUUAAAAAAAAAAGCAGGUGUAAAUGGAGGAAUACAAUAGAGGAAAGGCUGGACCCACAGCUGUGACACUGAACUCCGCUGACGUCCUGUAGUCCCGACAAAGACGCAGAGCUGGACUGCCUUUCUAAACACAAUCCAGGAGGCCAGUGCCUCUGCUAUCCUUCGCUCUGAGGCCACUGGCAGUAGAAACAGAUGCCUGAACCCUGUGAUCUGAGACUAACACCUGAACGUCCACAGGAAGAAAUGCAGGAUGUCCGAGUUGCCUGCUGCAAACCCCCGAGCCCUCCACCAGGGUUUCCUGAGCCACUGUUUGGGGAUGCCGACUGCCGCCUCUUAGGUCAGCCCCGCGAUCCCGGUGUCCCGGCUGGAACUGAGAAUGGAGUAGCUUGGCAAAGUAGUCUGCAGUGCUGCCUAUGAUGCAUACCAACGAGCAACUUACCCUUUCCAAACUCCUGUGACUUGGGAGAUUGCAUAACGUGGCUCUGCUUGGGGACAACUCACAGGUUACGAGCGCAUUUGUGAGAACAGCCCCAUCAUAACUGUGGUAAUGUAUAUGUAGAAUGUACCAAUAAACCUAGUAAAAUAAUGCAAAACAAGAAA